This 379-nucleotide unclassified non-coding RNA is filed under the name uncultured Alphaproteobacteria bacterium. RNAcentral describes it as "contains 16S-23S intergenic spacer region". Lineage: Bacteria; Pseudomonadati; Pseudomonadota; Alphaproteobacteria. The record is from RNAcentral.
UCCGGCUUAUCACCGGCAGUCGCCUUAGAGUGCCCAACUAAAUGAUGGCAACUAAGGCCGAGGGUUGCGCUCGUUGCGGGACUUAACCCAACAUCUCACGACACGAGCUGACGACAGCCAUGCAGCACCUGUGUUCCUCCCACCGAAGUGAAGGAUCCCGUCUCUGAGAUCCAUAGAGGACAUGUCAAGGGCUGGUAAGGUUCUUCGCGUUGCUUCGAAUUGAACCACAUGCUCCACCGCUUGUGCGGGCCCCCGUCAAUUCCUUUGAGUUUCAGUCUUGCGACCGUACUCCCCAGGCGGAUGACUUAAUGCGUUAGCUGCGCCACUGGAAUCCCAUGGACCCCAACAGCUAGUCAUCAUCGUUUACGGCGUGGACUAC